AAAUUGAAGAGUUUGAUCAUGGCUCAGAUUGAACGCUGGCGGCAGGCCUAACACAUGCAAGUCGGACGGUAGCACAGAGAGCUUGCUCUUGGGUGACGAGUGGCGGACGGGUGAGUAAUGUCUGGGGAUCUGCCCGAUAGAGGGGGAUAACCACUGGAAACGGUGGCUAAUACCGCAUAACGUCGCAAGACCAAAGAGGGGGACCUUCGGGCCUCUCACUAUCGGAUGAACCCAGAUGGGAUUAGCUAGUAGGCGGGGUAAUGGCCCACCUAGGCGACGAUCCCUAGCUGGUCUGAGAGGAUGACCAGCCACACUGGAACUGAGACACGGUCCAGACUCCUACGGGAGGCAGCAGUGGGGAAUAUUGCACAAUGGGCGCAAGCCUGAUGCAGCCAUGCCGCGUGUAUGAAGAAGGCCUUCGGGUUGUAAAGUACUUUCAGCGGGGAGGAAGGCGACGGGGUUAAUAACCCUGUCGAUUGACGUUACCCGCAGAAGAAGCACCGGCUAACUCCGUGCCAGCAGCCGCGGUAAUACGGAGGGUGCAAGCGUUAAUCGGAAUUACUGGGCGUAAAGCGCACGCAGGCGGUCUGUUAAGUCAGAUGUGAAAUCCCCGGGCUUAACCUGGGAACUGCAUUUGAAACUGGCAGGCUUGAGUCUUGUAGAGGGGGGUAGAAUUCCAGGUGUAGCGGUGAAAUGCGUAGAGAUCUGGAGGAAUACCGGUGGCGAAGGCGGCCCCCUGGACAAAGACUGACGCUCAGGUGCGAAAGCGUGGGGAGCAAACAGGAUUAGAUACCCUGGUAGUCCACGCCGUAAACGAUGGAAGCUAGCCGUUGGCAAGUUUACUUGUCGGUGGCGCAGCUAACGCAUUAAGUGCCCCGCCUGGGGAGUACGGCCGCAAGGUUAAAACUCAAAUGAAUUGACGGGGGCCCGCACAAGCGGUGGAGCAUGUGGUUUAAUUCGAUGCAACGCGAAGAACCUUACCUACUCUUGACAUCCAGCGAAUUUGGCAGAGAUGCCUUAGUGCCUUCGGGAACGCUGAGACAGGUGCUGCAUGGCUGUCGUCAGCUCGUGUUGUGAAAUGUUGGGUUAAGUCCCGCAACGAGCGCAACCCUUAUCCUUUGUUGCCAGCGAGUCAUGUCGGGAACUCAAAGGAGACUGCCGGUGAUAAACCGGAGGAAGGUGGGGAUGACGUCAAGUCAUCAUGGCCCUUACGAGUAGGGCUACACACGUGCUACAAUGGCGCAUACAAAGAGAAGCGACCUCGCGAGAGCAAGCGGACCUCACAAAGUGCGUCGUAGUCCGGAUCGGAGUCUGCAACUCGACUCCGUGAAGUCGGAAUCGCUAGUAAUCGUGGAUCAGAAUGCCACGGUGAAUACGUUCCCGGGCCUUGUACACACCGCCCGUCACACCAUGGGAGUGGGUUGCAAAAGAAGUAGGUAGCUUAACCUUCGGGAGGGCGCUUACCACUUUGUGAUUCAUGACUGGGGUGAAGUCGUAACAAGGUAACCGUAGGGGAACCUGCGGUUGGAUCACCUCCUUAC
Molecule: ribosomal RNA, 1541 nt
Filed under: Mesorhizobium sp.
Lineage: Bacteria; Pseudomonadati; Pseudomonadota; Alphaproteobacteria; Hyphomicrobiales; Phyllobacteriaceae
Description: bacterial SSU rRNA
Rfam family: Bacterial small subunit ribosomal RNA
Source: RNAcentral